UAACUGGAGAGUUUGAUCCUGGCUCAGAACGAACGCUGGCGGCAUGCCUAACACAUGCAAGUCGAACGGUAACAGGGGAGCUUGCUCCCGCUGACGAGUGGCGCACGGGUGAGUAACGCGUGGAUACAUGCCUCGAUGUGGGGGACAACAAUACCGCAUAAUCCCUGAGGGGGAAAGGCUUCGGCCGCAUUGAGAGUGGUCCGCGUCGGAUUAGUUAGUUGGUGGGGUAAUGGCCUACCAAGACGACGAUCCGUAGCUGGUCUGAGAAGGUGACCAGCCACACUGGGACUGAGACACGGCCCAGACUCCUACGGGAGGCAGCAGUGGGGAAUAUUGCGCAAUGGGGGAAACCCUGACGCAGCAAUGCCGCGUGAGUGAAGAAGGUCUUCGGAUUGUAAAGCUCUUUCAGCUGGGAAGAUAAUGACGGUACCAGCAGAAGAAGCCCCGGCUAACUCCGUGCCAGCAGCCGCGGUAAUACGGAGGGGGCAAGCGUUGUUCGGAAUCACUGGGCGUAAAGCGUACGUAGGCUGUUUGAUAAGUCAGAAGUGAAAGCCCCGGGCUCAACCUGGGAACUGCUUUUGAAACUGUUAGACUAGAAUCCGGCAGAGGGUGGCGGAAUUCCCCGUGUAGAGGUGAAAUUCGUAGAUAUGGGGAGGAACACCAGAGGCGUAGGCGGCCACCUGGACCGGUAUUGACGCUGAGGUACGAAAGCGUGGGGAGCAAACAGGAUUAGAUACCCUGGUAGUCCACGCCGUAAACGAUGAGUGCUAGUUGUCGGAGGUAUUAACUCCACGUAACGCAGCUAACGCGUUAAGCACUCCGCCUGGGGAGUACGGCCGCAAGGUUAAAACUCAAAGAAAUUGACGGGGGCCCGCACAAGCGGUGGAGCAUGUGGUUUAAUUCGACGCAACGCGCAGAACCUUACCAGCCCUUGACAUGGGGAGCUAUCUCCAGAGAUGGAGAGUUCCUUUCGGGGACGUGCACACAGAUGCUGCAUGGCUGUCGUCAGCUCGUGUCGUGAGAUGUUGGGUUAAGUCCCGCAACGAGCGCAACCCUCGUCCUCAGUUGCCAGCGGUUCGGCCGGGUACUCUGGAGGAACUGCCGGUGACAAGCCGGAGGAAGGUGGGGAUGACGUCAAGUCCUCAUGGCCCUUAUGGGCUGGGCUACACACGUGCUACAAUGGCGGGGACAGUGGGUCGCGACGGCGCGAGCCGGAGCUAAUCCCCAAAAACCGUCUCAGUUCGGAUUGCACGCUGCAACUCGCGUGCAUGAAGGUGGAAUCGCUAGUAAUCGUGGAUCAGCAUGCCACGGUGAAUACGUUCCCGGGCCUUGUACACACCGCCCGUCACACCAUGGGAGUUGGUUUUACCCGAAGCCGGUGCGCGAACCGCAAGGACGCAGCCGACCACGGUAAGGUCAGCGACUGGGGUGAAGUCGGAACAAGGUA
This 1447-nucleotide ribosomal RNA is filed under the name uncultured prokaryote. RNAcentral's name for it is "partial 16S ribosomal RNA". It matches the Rfam family "Bacterial small subunit ribosomal RNA". The record is from RNAcentral.